This 484-nucleotide ribosomal RNA is filed under the name uncultured bacterium. RNAcentral describes it as "partial 16S ribosomal RNA". It matches the Rfam family "Bacterial small subunit ribosomal RNA", at positions 28 to 507 of the family's 1533-position model. The record is from RNAcentral.
AUUGAACGCUGGCGGCAUGCUUUACACAUGCAAGUCGAACGGCAGCGCGGGCUUCGGCCUGGCGGCGAGUGGCGAGCGGGUGAGUAAUGCAUCGGAACGUGCCCAGUAGUGGGGGAUAGCCCGGCGAAAGCCGGAUUAAUACCGCAUACGACCUUAGGGUGAAAGCGGGGGACCGAAAGGCCUCGCGCUAUUGGAGCGGCCGAUGUCGGAUUAGCUAGUUGGUGGGGUAAAGGCUUACCAAGGCGACGAUCCGUAGCUGGUCUGAGAGGACGACCAGCCACACUGGGACUGAGACACGGCCCAGACUCCUACGGGAGGCAGCAGUGGGGAAUUUUGGACAAUGGGGGCAACCCUGAUCCAGCCAUGCCGCGUGCGGGAAGAAGGCCUUCGGGUUGUAAACCGCUUUUGUUCGGGAAGAAAUCCUCUGGGCUAAUACCCCGGGGGGAUGACGGUACCGGAAGAAUAAGCACCGGCUAACUACGUG